This 253-nucleotide ribosomal RNA is filed under the name uncultured bacterium. RNAcentral's name for it is "partial 16S ribosomal RNA". It matches the Rfam family "Bacterial small subunit ribosomal RNA", at positions 524 to 776 of the family's 1533-position model. The record is from RNAcentral.
UACGUAGGGUGCAAGCGUUGUCCGGAAUCAUUGGGCGUAAAGCGCGCGUAGGUGGCCAUUUAAGUCCGCUGUGAAAGUCAAAGGCUCAACCUUUGAAAGCCGGUGGAUACUGGAUGGCUAGAGUACGGAAGAGGCGAGUGGAAUUCCUGGUGUAACGGUGGAAUGCGCAGAUAUCAGGAGGAACACCAAUAGCGAAGGCAGCUCGCUGGGACGUUACUGACACUGAGGCGCGAAAGCGUGGGGAGCGAACAGG